GAUGACGCUGGCGUCGUGCCUAAUACAUGCAAGUCGAGCGAGCGGCGGACGGGUGAGUAAUGUCUGGGACACUGCCUGAUGGAGGGGGAGAACUACUGGAAACGGUAGCUAAUACCGCAUACCAUCUGAUGUUCCCAGAUGGGAUUAGCUAGUAGGUGUGGUAACGGCUCACCUAGGCGACGCUCCAUAGCUGGUCUGAGAGGAUUACCAGGCACACUGGAACUGAGACACGGUCCAGACUCCUAAGGGAGGCAGCAUUGGGGAAUAUUGCACAAUGGGCGCAAGCCUGAUGCAGCCAUGCCGCGUGUAUGAAGAAGGCCUUCGGGUUGUAAAGUACUUUCAGCGGGGAGGCGUUACCCGCAGAAGAAGCAACGUCUAACUCCGUGCCAGCGGCCGCGGUAAUAC
Molecule: ribosomal RNA, 405 nt
Filed under: uncultured bacterium
Lineage: Bacteria
Description: partial 16S ribosomal RNA
Rfam family: Bacterial small subunit ribosomal RNA
Source: RNAcentral